RNAcentral lists this ribosomal RNA (845 nucleotides) under Streptomyces microflavus. Its description in RNAcentral is "bacterial SSU rRNA". It matches the Rfam family "Bacterial small subunit ribosomal RNA", at positions 56 to 916 of the family's 1533-position model. The record is from RNAcentral. Lineage: Bacteria; Bacillati; Actinomycetota; Actinomycetes; Kitasatosporales; Streptomycetaceae.
UGCAAGUCGAACGAUGAAGCCUUUCGGGGUGGAUUAGUGGCGAACGGGUGAGUAACACGUGGGCAAUCUGCCCUUCACUCUGGGACAAGCCCUGGAAACGGGGUCUAAUACCGGAUAACACUCUGUCCUGCAUGGGACGGGGUUAAAAGCUCCGGCGGUGAAGGAUGAGCCCGCGGCCUAUCAGCUUGUUGGUGGGGUAAUGGCCUACCAAGGCGACGACGGGUAGCCGGCCUGAGAGGGCGACCGGCCACACUGGGACUGAGACACGGCCCAGACUCCUACGGGAGGCAGCAGUGGGGAAUAUUGCACAAUGGGCGAAAGCCUGAUGCAGCGACGCCGCGUGAGGGAUGACGGCCUUCGGGUUGUAAACCUCUUUCAGCAGGGAAGAAGCGAAAGUGACGGUACCUGCAGAAGAAGCGCCGGCUAACUACGUGCCAGCAGCCGCGGUAAUACGUAGGGCGCAAGCGUUGUCCGGAAUUAUUGGGCGUAAAGAGCUCGUAGGCGGCUUGUCACGUCGGAUGUGAAAGCCCGGGGCUUAACCCCGGGUCUGCAUUCGAUACGGGCUAGCUAGAGUGUGGUAGGGGAGAUCGGAAUUCCUGGUGUAGCGGUGAAAUGCGCAGAUAUCAGGAGGAACACCGGUGGCGAAGGCGGAUCUCUGGGCCAUUACUGACGCUGAGGAGCGAAAGCGUGGGGAGCGAACAGGAUUAGAUACCCUGGUAGUCCACGCCGUAAACGUUGGGAACUAGGUGUUGGCGACAUUCCACGUCGUCGGUGCCGCAGCUAACGCAUUAAGUUCCCCGCCUGGGGAGUACGGCCGCAAGGCUAAAACUCAAAKGAAUUGACGG